Molecule: ribosomal RNA, 487 nt
Filed under: uncultured bacterium
Lineage: Bacteria
Description: bacterial SSU rRNA
Rfam family: Bacterial small subunit ribosomal RNA
Source: RNAcentral
AGUUUGAUCAGUGGCUCAGGACGAACGCUGGCGGCGUGCUUAACACAUGCAAGUCGAACGGAAAGGCCCUGCUUUUGUGGGGUGCUCGAGUGGCGAACGGGUGAGUAACACGUGAGUAACCUGCCCUUGACUUUGGGAUAACUUCAGGAAACUGGGGCUAAUACCGGAUAGGAGCUCCUGCUGCAUGGUGGGGGUUGGAAAGUUUCGGCGGUUGGGGAUGGACUCGCGGCUUAUCAGCUUGUUGGUGGGGUAGUGGCUUACCAAGGCUUUGACGGGUAGCCGGCCUGAGAGGGUGACCGGCCACAUUGGGACUGAGAUACGGCCCAGACUCCUACGGGAGGCAGCAGUGGGGAAUAUUGCACAAUGGGCGGAAGCCUGAUGCAGCAACGCCGCGUGCGGGAUGACGGCCUUCGGGUUGUAAACCGCUUUCGCCUGUGACGAAGCGUGAGUGACGGUAAUGGGUAAAGAAGCACCGGCUAACUACGUG